RNAcentral lists this ribosomal RNA (641 nucleotides) under Mycolicibacterium llatzerense. RNAcentral's name for it is "bacterial SSU rRNA". It matches the Rfam family "Bacterial small subunit ribosomal RNA", at positions 91 to 746 of the family's 1533-position model. The record is from RNAcentral. Lineage: Bacteria; Bacillati; Actinomycetota; Actinomycetes; Mycobacteriales; Mycobacteriaceae.
UCGAGUGGCGAACGGGUGAGUAACACGUGGGUGAUCUGCCCUGCACUUUGGGAUAAGCCUGGGAAACUGGGUCUAAUACCGAAUAUGACCACGCUCUUCAUGGGGUGUGGUGGAAAGCUUUUGCGGUGUGGGAUGGGCCCGCGGCCUAUCAGCUUGUUGGUGGGGUAAUGGCCUACCAAGGCGACGACGGGUAGCCGGCCUGAGAGGGUGACCGGCCACACUGGGACUGAGAUACGGCCCAGACUCCUACGGGAGGCAGCAGUGGGGAAUAUUGCACAAUGGGCGCAAGCCUGAUGCAGCGACGCCGCGUGAGGGAUGACGGCCUUCGGGUUGUAAACCUCUUUCACCAGGGACGAAGCGCAAGUGACGGUACCUGGAGAAGAAGCACCGGCCAACUACGUGCCAGCAGCCGCGGUAAUACGUAGGGUGCGAGCGUUGUCCGGAAUUACUGGGCGUAAAGAGCUCGUAGGUGGUUUGUCGCGUUGUUCGUGAAAACUCACAGCUUAACUGUGGGCGUGCGGGCGAUACGGGCAGACUAGAGUACUGCAGGGGAGACUGGAAUUCCUGGUGUAGCGGUGGAAUGCGCAGAUAUCAGGAGGAACACCGGUGGCGAAGGCGGGUCUCUGGGCAGUAACUGACGC